Long non-coding RNA from Beta vulgaris subsp. vulgaris (sugar beet), 826 nucleotides. RefSeq lists it as uncharacterized. The transcript has 3 exons. Lineage: Eukaryota; Viridiplantae; Streptophyta; Magnoliopsida; Caryophyllales; Amaranthaceae. The record is from RefSeq and is a predicted model, not a curated record.
CCAUAAAAUGGCUGCCUUAUCAGUCUGCCUUCUCGGACAUGGUUCAUCAGCCUCGACCUCGUAAAUUGUUGACAUAAUUUACAGAUUUUUCUCUUCACUUGGAUGGAACCUCUUUAGGGUUUUGUGAGAACAAGCUUCCAAGAUAUCUGAUGACGGACGAUGAAUACGACGAUUUGGAGAUGGGGAUUGAUGAGAACAUGGAGGAUACUCUUGCAAAUGUUGAAGGGGCGCAGAACCAGUUGACCAGGUAUCUUAGCAGUAUAUCCUCAAACAGUGGCUGAUGAUCAAGAUAUUCUUUGUAUUGAUUGUAUUUCAGAUGUUCUUCCUAUUUUUCGUUGCGUAAAUGUCAUUCAAGAACCUUUUUUGCUAUUGUAUAUACAUUGAGAAAAAAUUUAUAUGAAAAAUAAAGUAAAUUGCUAUUGUAGAUUCGGCUCGAUCGAACUUCAUUUUAGAUGCUUUUUUUUUUUUCAUUUUUUUUCCCCUGGUGGAAGAGGAGAGUGGCAGCUAAGUUUAAGUGUUGGAUUGAAAUAGGUUAAUUUUUUUGGCAAAACAAUAUGUAAUAUCUCUUGUUGUUGUAAGCAUUACUAGAUGGUACUUCUAGAUGACAGAUUCUGUUAGCUCUUCUUUUCUCUUGGUUUUCGCCAUCACGUUAUUCAUUAUUUGAUUUAUGAGAAUGUAAAAUUGAUUCAGUGGAUAAUAUACCUACAAGAAUUAGAGAAAAUAUAUUUUAUUUAUGAGCUCGAUUUCAUUAUUUAUUUAUAUCUAUUUCAAGUGGGUAGAUCAUCGAUUAUGUAUGAAAAGCUUUUUUCAACAUGGGGGGGUGAGA